ACGGAAGGCAGCAGUGGGGAAUAUUGCACAAUGGGGGAAACCCUGAUGCAGCGACGCCGCGUGAGUGAAGAAGUAUUUCGGUAUGUAAAGCUCUAUCAGCAGGGAAGAAAAUGACGGUACCUGACUAAGAAGCCCCGGCUAACUACGUGCCAGCAGCCGCGGUAAUACGUAGGGAGCGAGCGUUGUCCGGAUUUACUGGGUGUAAAGGGUGCGUAGGCGGGCUUGCAAGUCAGGCGUGAAAUACCGGGGCUUAACUCCGGGGCUGCGCUUGAAACUGUAAGUCUUGAGUGAAGUAGAGGCAGGCGGAAUUCCCAGUGUAGCGGUGAAAUGCGUAGAUAUUGGGAGGAACACCAGUGGCGAAGGCGGCCUGCUGGGCUUUAACUGACGCUGAGGCACGAAAGUAUGGGGAGCAAACAGGAUUAGAUACCCUGGUA
RNAcentral lists this ribosomal RNA (434 nucleotides) under uncultured Clostridium sp. Its description in RNAcentral is "partial 16S ribosomal RNA". It matches the Rfam family "Bacterial small subunit ribosomal RNA", at positions 341 to 792 of the family's 1533-position model. Lineage: Bacteria; Bacillati; Bacillota; Clostridia; Eubacteriales; Clostridiaceae. The record is from RNAcentral.